UCCCUCGUGGCUCAGUUGGCUAGAGCGUUGUAAGUAGUCGGAUCCAAAAGAGGUUCCACAACCGAAGUACUAACAAUCAUGGUCAGGGACUGUUAAUCCAAAGGUCGGAAGUUCAAGCCUUCCCGGGGGAG
RNAcentral lists this transfer RNA (131 nucleotides) under Beauveria bassiana. RNAcentral's name for it is "tRNA-OTHER". Lineage: Eukaryota; Fungi; Ascomycota; Sordariomycetes; Hypocreales; Cordycipitaceae. The record is from RNAcentral.